This is a long non-coding RNA of Nicotiana tabacum (common tobacco), 595 nucleotides long. RefSeq lists it as uncharacterized. Lineage: Eukaryota; Viridiplantae; Streptophyta; Magnoliopsida; Solanales; Solanaceae. The record is from RefSeq and is a predicted model, not a curated record.
UCUAUUAAGCUUUUGUUAGUAACCCAUCUCAUAAAACACACCCCUUUGCCCAAACCUUCUGCCGACUUUGUCGCCGGCAUAUAUGCCUCUUCUCGUCCAUCAGUUCUUCAUUUUUUUACCUACUUCAAUAAUUUUCUUCUUUCCCUUUUCUAUCUUAUUUUGUUUCCUUAAUUACUUUUCCUAUUAACGCCCUACGAAAAUAUUGAUUCACCAUGAUUCGCAACCGAAAUUUUAGCUCUGUACUAUUCUACCCAUUUCGACAUUCUCGGGUUCGAACUUAUCACUCGAAUGUAGACAGGUUUUGGAGGUAUUUCUGAACUCGGUAGCGGCUGUUGAUUACUCAGUGGUAGGUCCAUCAGAGUUAGCAAGGUAGCUGUCUGGCGUUCGCAGCCUUGCUCUUCUCCCUCUCAUCUUCCUUAGGUUGUUUUAGUAUUUUUCCAGAUUAUAGUAGUAUUCCUUGUAUUCAAACCUUAGUAGAUGCUCGUGACUUGUGACACCCUGAUGUCGGGCUUAUGUUUCUUUCCUCAUUUGUGAUUUAGACCCUUGUUAUCAGAUUUUAUUUAAUUAAUAGCUUAAAAUGUCCUUAUUUUUGGAA